CCUACGGGCGGCAGCAGUGGGGGAUAUUGCACAAUGGGGGGAACCCUGAUGCAGCGACGCCGCGUGGGUGAAGAAGCGCCUCGGCGCGUAAAGCCCUGUCAGCAGGGAAGAAAAUGACGGUACCUGAAGAAGAAGCCCCGGCUAACUACGUGCCAGCAGCCGCGGUAAUACGUAGGGGGCAAGCGUGAUCCGGAUUUACUGGGUGGAAAGGGGGCGCAGACGGCGAUGCAAGCCAGGAGUGAAAGCCCGGGGCCCAACCCCGGGACUGCUCGUGGAACUGCGUGGCUGGAGUGCAGGAGGGGCAGGCGGAAUUCCUGGUGUAGCGGUGAAAUGCGUAGAUAUCAGGAGGAACACCGGUGGCGAAGGCGGCCUGCUGGACUGCAACUGACGUUGAGGCCCGAAAGCGUGGGGAGCAAACAGGAUUAGAUACCCUAGUAGUC
This 440-nucleotide ribosomal RNA is filed under the name uncultured bacterium. RNAcentral's name for it is "partial 16S ribosomal RNA". It matches the Rfam family "Bacterial small subunit ribosomal RNA", at positions 338 to 795 of the family's 1533-position model. The record is from RNAcentral.